UACGUAGGGGGCAAGCGUUGUCCGGAAUUAUUGGGCGUAAAGAGCUCGUAGGCGGUCUGUCGCGUCUGGUGUGAAAAUCCAGGGCUUAACCCUGGACCUGCAUCGGGUACGGGCAGACUAGAGUGCGGUAGGGGAGACUGGAAUUCCUGGUGUAGCGGUGAAAUGCGCAGAUAUCAGGAGGAACACCGGUGGCGAAGGCGGGUCUCUGGGCCGUAACUGACGCUGGAGGAGCGGAAAGCCGUGGGGAGCGAACAGG
This 256-nucleotide ribosomal RNA is filed under the name uncultured bacterium. RNAcentral's name for it is "partial 16S ribosomal RNA". It matches the Rfam family "Bacterial small subunit ribosomal RNA", at positions 524 to 776 of the family's 1533-position model. The record is from RNAcentral.